This 11965-nucleotide long non-coding RNA is filed under the name Lynx pardinus (Iberian lynx). The record is from RNAcentral. Lineage: Eukaryota; Metazoa; Chordata; Mammalia; Carnivora; Felidae.
ACGCGCCCGCCAGGAGGGGGCGGAGGGACCGCGGAGGAGGAGCCUGGGGGACCCCUGGGCAGCCCGGUCGGCUCAGGUAAUGGGGACCGGGGGAGGGAGGGUCGGAGCCCGAGGAGGGGCAGGCUUCACGGUGGGCAAGGCCUAGGGAGGGUCGUGGGGGCUCGGGCUUCUAGGAGUUAAAACUGGACCCCUGUCUGCACAAGGGUCCGUUUCCUCUGUCCCACACUGUGCUAAGACGUCUUGGGUGACACCCAGAGGCUACUCACCCAGCACCGUGCCCUAGAGGCCGCCACUCUUGGAGGCAGGCUCUGAAAGAGUUAACCGAAUCACCGAGCACAAAGAACUAAGUGCUAUAUGGAGUUGUUUUCUUAGCAGGACACAAAUCUAGGAGCCAUUCCUCUGACUGGGAGGAGGGGGGUGUCGGAGAGAGGAUUCCCAGAAGAGAAGACAUCUGAGCUCCGGAGGAGGAGAAAUGGAGCACCACGCAGAGAAAACGGAAUAGACAAAUGUACUAGGGCGGGAAAGCCCACGGGCUGUAUUUGGGGAAAAACCGAAAUUAGCUAUAGUUAGGAGUUAGGCCUUUGGACGGAAAUGAAGGGAGAUGAGCCUCCAAAAUAAUAAUAAGGACCUCACUUACUGAGGACCUACUCUCUGUUCAAGUAAGAAGAAAAAAAAAGUAACUAAACUGGAUACAGCCCUUACCAAGUGCCAGACACUGUCCUCACCACUUUACAUACAUUAACUUAAUUAAUUAAUUAACUAAUCUAGGAAGAGAACUACUUGUAUUGCCCUUUAAAAUGUGCCAGGGACUCUGCACAUCAUCUUUCAGUUAGCCCAGUAAUACCCUGGGCUAACACUUAUCCUGUUUUAGAGAUGGGAAAACUAAAUCUGAGGGGGCAAGUAAUGUGUGCAAGGUCACACAGCUAAUGUCAGAGUCUGGAUUCAAGCCCACAUGUGUAUAAGUCCAGAGUCUGAUGCAGCAUACCUUAUUUUAUAGAUGGGUAACUGAUAACCAGAGGGAAGUGGCUUGCCCAAGAUCCCUUGGCAAGGUUUGGCAAAGCCUGGUUCUAGAAAUGAAGCCUCAGACCUCUUGUCAUCUGUUCCUUGACAGCACCUCUUUCUUCAGACCCAGGUUUGUACAACUCAACAAAAUACUCUGUAUUGGGAAGGUGAUGAGUAGGUAGGUCUAUCAAAACCAUUAGAUACCCAUGGGAUAAAUAAAGUAUAUGGUCUUGCCAUUGAUGUAUUUUUUAAGUUUAUUUAUUUAAUUAGUGAGUGAGAGAGAAUGAGAGCAGGGUAGGGGCAGAGAGAAAGAGGGAGAGAGAGAGAAUCCCAAGCAGGCUUUACACUGUCAGUGUGGAGCCCCACUCCAGACUUGAUCCCAUGAACUGAAAGGCGAGAUCAGGACCCGAGCCCAAAUCAAGAGUCAGAUGCUUAACUGACUGAGCCACCCAGGCACCCCAGCCAUUGAUGUAUUUAGAGGCUAUAAUCAUCUGCUUGAGCUGCCGUAACAAAAUACCUCGGACUGGGUGGAUUGACACUUUUUUCACAGUUCUGGGGGCUAGAAGUUCAAGAUAAAGAUGCUGGCUUGGUUGUUUUCCAUAAGAUCUUUCUUCCCAGCCUGUAGAAGGCCACCUUCUCACUGAGUCCUCACAUGGUGUCUUCUCUCCUUGUGUGAAGAGACCAAGCUCUUCUCUCUUCUCCUUCUUAUAAGGACACUAAUCCCAUCAGGUCAGAGCCCCAUCCUUAUGAUCUCACUUAAUCUUUAUUACUUCUUUAUAGGCCCUGUCUCCAAAGACAGUCACUCUGAUAGUCGGGCUUCAGCAUAUGAAUUUGACAGAGACACAGUUCAGUCCUUAAUAUUCUUUCCUUCGACCCCUCCAAAAUCCAUGUGCUCAUUGUACACAAAAUACAUUCAUACCAUCCCAACAAUCCCCAAAGUCUUAACCCAUUCAAGCAUCAGUUCCAAGUUCAAAGUCUUAUCGAAGUAUCACCUAAAUCAGAUAUGGGUGAGGCUCCAAGUAUGACCUAUCCUGAGGCAAAAUUCUUCUCUACCUAGAUACCAGACAAGUUCCAUGCUUCCAAAAUACAGGUAUAGGAUAGAUAUUCCCAUUCCAAAAGGGAGAAAUCAACAGGAAGGAAGGGGUGAUAGGUCCCAGACAAAUUCAAAACCUAGCAAGGAAAAUUCCACUAAGUCUUAAAGCUCUAGAAUAAUCCUCUCGAGGAAUGCUCUGCCUUCUGGACCCACUUGGUCAGUAGUGUCAUCCUCACUAGGCAGCAGCCUUGCCUCCUCCACUGGGGGCAGAGCCCCACCCUGUGGCUUUUUGCUGUAGCCCUGCCCCUGAGGCACUAAGCAGGGACAGCCCAGAGCCCUGAAACCAAGAGGAGGCCUACCCUCUGAAACCCAGAAAGAAAUAGUCUUGCUCUCUGGGCUGUAUGCUUUAGGCAUAUAGUGGGAAUGGCAGCCCUGAUGAUCUGUGAAUCACCUUCAGGGUCAAUCCUCUUUUCUUAAAGGAUAAAGCAUAUUCACAGCCAAAUAGCUUUAUUAUCCUGUCCUGUAGAAUCCCAGAAAUCCAAUAGCCUUCCUUUAUUUUACCCCAUCUCUGUUCCCUUUGGUCCAAACUGACAAUGUCUGUGCUGGUAUAAAUCCCAUCUCUAUUCUUGGUUUCUGCUGAGAUGGCUGAUACACUGCAUGGGUGACCUCCUUAUAGAGUGAUUUGCCAGACACACCCUAGAACAUGCACUCUUGUUUUGUGCAACAUGGAUGGGCUGAGAAUUUUGCAAAUCUUCACACUCUGGUUUGUUUUUGCUUACCAAUCCCUUCCAUUUGCCUCUCUCAUUUGCCUCAUGUUUUACUAUAAACAGCAAGGAGAAACCAGGCCACACCUUCAACACUUUGCUUAGGAAUCUCUUUAGCUAAAUUUCCAAGUUCAUCACUUGCAAUUUCUACUUUCCAUGAAACACUAGAACACGAUUUAGCCAAGUUCUUUGCUGCUUCCUGAUAAGGAUCAUCUUUCUUCCAGUUUCCAUUCCCAUGUUUUGCAUUUCCAUCUGAAGCCUCACCAGAAUCACCUUUAAUGUUCACAGUUCUACCAACAUUCUGUCCAUGAUGAUAUGUGUCUUCUCUAAAAUAAGAGAUGCUUUCUUUAAUAGCUCUUCUCAUUCCUUCCUCAGCCCUCACCAGAAUUGCCUUUAACAUUCAAUUUCUACCAACCGUCCCUUCAAGGCAACCUAGGAUUUUUUUUUUUCUAGCAUGCACCUCACAGCUUAUCCAGUCUCUCUCCCUAUUACCCAGUUCCAGAAACAAUUUCCACAUUUUUUAGGCAAACCACCGCCCUCCCCACACUUCUUUCCCCCCCCACCCCNCCCCCCCCCCCCCCCCCCCCCCCCCCACUUCUCGAUACCAGAAUCUGUAUUAGUCUGCUAGGGCUGCCAUAGCAAAAUACCACAAAUGCGGUGACUUAAACAACACAAAUUUAUUUUCUCACAGUUCUGGAAGCUGGAAGUCCACAAUCAGUGUGUCAGCAAGGUUGGUUUCUGGUGAGGUCUCUUUUUCUUGCUUGUAGACAACCCCCUUCUGCUGUGUCCUGACAUGGCUACUUCUCUGUGCGUGUGCAGAGAGCUCUGGUCUUCCUCUUCUUAUAAGGGCACUAAUCCUAGGAGAUCAGGGCCCUACCCUUAUGACUUCUUUUAACCUUUAUUACCCCCUUAUAGGCCCUGUCUCCAAAUAUAGUAACAUUGCAGGUCAGGGCUCCAACAUAUGAAUGGGUGAUGUGGGUUUGGGGGGUGGGGAGACAUAAUUUAGUUUGUAACAGGGGCUUUUACCCUAGAAGCAUGUGAGUAGAAUUCUAGUCCCAGCUCUCUGCAACAAGCUCUGUAACUUUGGGUAAGUCACUUCUUUCUGGGCCUCAGUUUCUAAACAAUGACCUGAGAAUGGUAAUGGCUGUUCCAACCCAUUUCACCCAGGAGCUAUGAGAACGCUUGACGAAAUGGUGGUGAAGGUGCUGCCCAGUGAAAAACACUGAGGUGCCAAGUCUCACUGAUUCUAUGGACAAUAUACUUGCAAAAGGUAUACAAACUCUGUACAUGAAAUUUGCUUCCAUUUGCUGGCACUCAGUGAUCAAUAUUUAACCAUCAUGGGCCCCUGACAAUUGGAAAGUAGCUCACAAAAGAAAAAGUCAAGUGGUUACUGCACUGAGCAAGUACUGAGAAAGUUCCCAAUUCUGUCUCUCAUCACCCCCUCAACUCCAUACUUAUACACAGAAACAAACAUACAAAUGACUUUUGACCCCAUGGAAGCCUUUCCAUUUAUUUGUAAAGAAUGUAUUUGUAUUUGUAAAGAAUACUACAUCUCUAUGUAAUCUUUAAAAUAUUCUUGACAUUUAACCUAGUAAUUACAUUUCUGGGAAACUAUCCUAAAAAAAUAAUCUGCAAGAUUUAUGGACUAGAAUGUUAAUAGUGGUGUUAUUUAUAAUAGUGAAAAUAUUGGAAAUAACCUAAAUAUCCAACUGUGAAGGAAUAGUUAAUAAAUUGUAGAGUAUCUAUAUGAUAGAUUAUUAUACAUUCAUUUAAAAUAGCGUUUACAAAGAGUUUAUGCUCUGAUUUUAAGUGAAAAAAAGCAGGGUCCAAAAUUACAUUUAAGUUUUAUCUCAGCUAUGUAAAUAAAAGACAUUUCUUAAAAAGACUAGAAGGAAAUGUGCCAAAAUGCUAGAGUAUUUGCCUCUAGGUGGUGAGACUAUGGGUGGAUGAAGGUUUAUUUGUUUGUUUUUUGCAUUUUAUCUUUUUUUUUUUUUUUUUUGCUUCUUCCAUUUUUUAUAAUUACAUAUUAUUUUAGUAAUGGAGGUGGACGGGUUAAAUGGUAAACACAGGAAAGGAUCACAAGAGGAAUAGUGGUUUACCCUGGUGUCUUACACAGAGAGUUUUGCAUGCUUGAUUCUCCCCUCCAAUGUUAGGGAAACUGAGGCAGAGUUAGAGCAACCGGUUCCAAAUUUUGGGAGUCCAAGUGACCCAGGUCACUGUUUCUCUGUAGCCACAGUAUACUGUCAUGUUUAGGAGGUGACCAUCAUACCAGGGUUUAAAUCCCUGUGCUACCCUUUACAACUGUGUGACCAUGGGAAAAUAAACUUUCCUAUGACUUUGUUGCCUUAUCUAUAAAGGACAGUGAUAAUGAUGGUUCCUAGAUCACAGGGCUUUUGUGAGGCUUAAAUGGUUGCUUAGAAUAACACCUCUCACGUAGUAAGCAGUCAAUAAGUGCUAGUUUUUAUUAUCCUCAUUCUACUGCUAUUAAGUACAGGGGUGAGGAGUGUAUAAUGCUUAGCUUGUGCUUUUAAUUGUGUGAUGUGUGAAGAGUCUAAUUAUAUACCGAUUCUUUAAUUAUCAAAGAUAAUGAUCGUGUUAUACUGUAAUUUUCUUUUUCUUACCCCACUCCCACUACAUUGUGAGCCUUUUGUGAAUAGGAGGUAUACCUUUUUCUUCUUUUGUCCCACCAGCAUUUAGAAGGUAUCAUAAAUGUUUAAUUAGAUAAAUUAUAAAUUAAAUAAUUAAUUGUUAUUAUUUCAUUCUGGCUCAGCACACUUCCAAGUUGCUCUUAGGAGAAUUUUCUUCACUGGCCCUUACUAUGGGAAUAAUGUUGGCCCAGUGACAACUUUGCUUUGUAAACCAUUUUUUCAGCAACUAGCUCUUUUUUUAAAGUCCAGUUUGGGUAUAAUUUACAUAAUUAAUAGUCUCCAUUUUUUUUAGUGUACAUGACUAUGAAUUUUGAUAAAUGCAUACAGUUUGAACAACCACUUCUGCAAUUAGGAUCGCCCCCAAAACUUCACUCCUGCUUCCUAUCACUCCCAACUACUAGCAAUCAUUGAUUGGCUUUCUGUCCUUUUAGCAUUACCUUUUCCAGAAUGCCACAUAAAUGGAACCAUACAGAAUUUAGCUUUUUGAGUCUGGCUUCUUUAAUUCAGCAUAAUGUAUUUAAGAUUCAUCCACGUUGUUGCAUGUAUCAAUAGUUCCCACCUUUUUAUUGUUCAGUAAUAUUACAUUGUGUGGAUAUACCACAGUUAGUUUAUCCAUUCACCUGUUGAAUGACAUUGGGUGUUUCCAGUUUUUGACAAUUAUGAAUGAAGUCACUAUAAAUAUUCAAGUUUUAUGUGAACCUAUGUUUUCAUUUCUCUAGGGUUAAUAAUUAGGAGUGAAAUUUCUAGGUCUUGUGGUUAAAUAUGUUUCACUUCAUAAGAAACUACAAAAAAGUACUUUUAAAAGUGGUUGUAUGGUGUUGCAUUCCUCCCAGCAAUACAUGAGAGUUCCAAUUGGUCCACAUCCUUGGCAGGACUUAGUAUUGUCAGUUCUUUUGAUUUUAGCCAUUUUAAUAUUUGUGUUGUUUCCCAACAACACUUUUGCAUUUCAGGUACUCUGUGAGGGGACCAGAUUAGGAUUAUUGGAUCCAUUUUGACAGAAGCAAUUAAAGCCUAAAUGGGUCUUUUACUCAAGUUCUUUGGUUAUGUUCAAGAUUUUAGUCUUUAGUUCCUUUUUUUCUCUUAGUAAUCCACAGGAGAAGCAAAUCCCUCCAACCCCUGGGAAACCCGUAAAGCUCUUGGAAUCACUCAUUCAACAGCAUUUCUUGAGCAGUUAAUUAUGUAUCUAGCAUUUGCUAGAAUCUAAAAACACAAAGAUUCUCUUUUAAAACAAUUUUUUUUUAUUAUUUUAGAAAGAGAGAGCCCAACAUGGGGCUUGAUCCCAUGAUCCUGGUAUCAUGACCUGAGCUGAACCCAAGAGUCAGACGCUCAACUAACUGAGCCACCCAGGUGCCCCUACAAAUACAAAGAUUUCUAAGACAAGGUCUCUACUGUAACAAUUAGGGUAGGGGGAGGUGAGGAAAAAGAGAGAUGGGAAUAGGAACUGACAAGUAAAUGAAAUGACAGUUACAGAGAAUGAUCAAGUUUCUUGAUGUGUCUUGGGCCUUUGAAUUCUCAACACCAGGUACUGUCCCCAGAAUUGUGGAUAAUAAUAAUAAUCACUAUCAUGUGAUGGUAGCAAGUACAGUGCCUGUAUUAUCUCAUUCAGUGCCCAUAAUAGUUCCAUAAAAGAUAUAAGGUUAAAGCAUACAGAAUUGUUGAUUUUGUAGAUCAGAAAGGGUCAAACUUUGGCAAUGUAAUAUGGUUCACCUAAUAAUAAUAGUCAUAAUUGGUUACACAAGGCAUACAGUGUAACCAGUGCAUUAUCACAUUUUAUCCUUAGGACAACUCUCUACCGUAGGUACUACUGAUAUUCCUACAGAGGAGGCAACUGAGACUGAAGGUGGUGAUGGAAGCAUGUUCAUGAAGCUGCUAGGUUGGAGACAAAGCUUGAAUUCACAACUGAAGUAUGAGGAACUUCAGAGCCACUGAAACCAUAAAGGUCUGUAACCACUAUGCUACUCUAAUAUUAUUACAGAUAAGCAAACUGAGGCUUGAAGAGGUGAAGUUGCCUGAGGUGGCUGUGGGAUCUACCAUGCCCCAAGUUCACAGGGCAUCCCAGCUUCAAACUCCUGGCCAAAUCACCUUUUUUUCCUCAUCUCCUCCUUGUCACUCUGGAAAUUGGGCUGAAUUCAGGCCAUCCUCGGAAACACAGGUGUUGCCUCCACAGCUGGCAGAACAGCUAGCAAAGAGGCUUUGAUACUUGCUUGCUCCUAAUUGACCCUAAAGGAAGUACAUCGUUUUAAAUUAACAAACUUUAUUUUUUAGCGAAGCUUUAGGUUCGCAAUAAAUUUGAACAGAAGGCAUAACGAAUUCACUACUCCCCUUCCCCACACACGCACCACCUGCCCCACUAUUGACAUCCCCCCCACCCCCCGCCAGAGUAAUAUGUUUGUUAUGGUUGAUGUUAUGAGCCUACCCUGAUAUAUCAUUAUCACCCAAAGUUCAUAGUUUACAUUAAGGUUCACUGUUAGUGUUAUACACUCUACGGGUUUUAGCAAAUGUGUAACUAUAUGUAUCCACCAUUAUAAAUACCAUACCGAAUAGUUUCACUGCCUUAAAAAUCCUCUGUGAUCUGCCUAUUCAUCUCUCACCCCAAACCCCAAACUUCCAAUCACUGAUCUUUUUACUGUCUCCAUAGUUUUGUCUUUUCUGGAGUGUCAAAUAUUUGAAAUCAUAUGAUAUGUAGCCUUUUCAGAUUGGCUUCUUUCACUGGGCAUAUAUCCAGUUAAGGUUCCUCCAUGUCUUUACAUAGCUUGAUAGCUCCUUUCUUUUUAUCACUGAAUACUAUUGUGUUGUUUUGGUUUACGGCAGUUUCUUUAUCUGAAGGACAUCUUGGUUGCUUCCCAGUUUGGGCAAUUAUGAAUAAAUAUGCUAUAUAUACCAUGUGCAGGUUUUUGUGUGGACAGACAUAAGUUUUGAAUUCAUUUGAGUUAAUAUCCAGGAGCAUGAGUGGUAGACUGUAUGUUAAGAUUAUGUUUAAUUUUUAAAAUAAAAAUAAAAAUAAAUUAAAAGGUAUGUGUAGUUUGUAAGAAACUGCCAAACUGUCUUCCAAAGUAGUUGUACCAUUUUGCAUUCUCACCAGCAAUGAAUGAGAGUUCCUGCUGCUCCACACUGUUGCCAGCAUUUGGUGUUGUCAGUGUUUUGGAUCUUAGCCAUUCUAAUAGGUAUGUAGUGCUAUCUCAUUUUAAUUUGCCAUUUUCUAAUAAAAUAUGAUGUCAAAAGUAUUUUCAUAUAUUUAUUAGCCAUCUAUAUAUCUUUUUUGGUUAGGUAUCUUAAAAUUUUUGGCCCAUUUUUUAAUCAGGCUGUUUGCUUUCUUUUUGUUGAAUUUUAUGUGUUCUCUGUGUACUUUGGAGAACAGUCCUUUACCAAAUGUGUCUUUUGCAAACAUUUUCUCCCAGUCUGUGGCCUUAUCUUUCCAUUCCAAUGACAUUGUCUUUCACAGAGCAAAAGUUUUUUUUAAUUUUGAUAAGUCGACCUUACCAAUUAUCUUAUUCAUGGAUCGUGCCUUUAGUGUUGUAUGUAAAAAGUUGCCACAUUCCCAAGGUCAUAUAGGUUUUCUUCUAUAUUACCCUCCAGGAGUUUUCUAGUUUUACAUUUACAUAGUCCGUGACCCAUUUUUAGCUAAUUUAUGUGAAGAACGUAAGGCCUUUGUCUAAAUUCCUUUUUUUUUUUUUUUUUGUAUGUGGUUGUCCAGUUGUUCCAGUGCCACUUGUGGAAAGGAAAAAUCUUUGCUCAGUGGUACAGCAUUUUGCUACUUUGUCAAAGAUUAAUUGACUAUAUUUAUGUGAGUCUAUUUCUGGGAACUUAAUUCUGUUCCAUUGAUCUAUUUGUCUAUUCUUUUGCCAAUACCACACUGUCUUGAUUAGUGUAGCUUUAUAGUAAGUCUUAAAGUUGUCCAACUUUGUUCUCCUUCAAUAUUGUGUUGGUCAUGCUGGGUCUUUUGCCUCUUUAUGUAAACUUUAGAGUGACUUUGUUGAUAUCCAUAAUAUAAUUUGCUGAGAUUUUGAUAUUUUGAUAAGGAUUGCAUUAAAUCUAUAGAUUAAAUUGGGAAGAACAGACUUUCUUUCUUUCUUUCUUUCUUUCUUUCUUUCUUUCUUUCUUUCUUUCUUUCUUUAUUUUCUUUCGAGAGCCCAUGUGAUUACAGGAGGGGCAGAGGGAGAAAAAGAGAGAGAAUCCUAAGCAGGUUCCUUGCCCAGUGCAGAACCCAAUGUGGGGCUUAACAUGGGGCUCGAUCUCCCAACUGUGAGAUCAUGACUUGAGCUGAAAUCAAGAGUUGGACAUUUAACCAACUGAGCCACCCAGGCAUUCCAAGGGAAGAACUGACAUCUUGACAAUAGUAAAUCUUCCUAUCCAUGAACAUGGGAUCUCUCUCCAUUUAUUUAGUUCUUCUUUAAAAUUUUUUUUUUCAAUGUUUAUUUAUUUUUGGGACAGAGAGAGACAGAGCAUGAACGGGGGAGGGGCAGAGAGAGAGGGAGACACAGAAUCAGAAACAGGCUCCAGGCUCCGAGCCAUCAGCCCAGAGCCUGACGCGGGGCUCGAACUCACGGACCACGAGAUCGUGACCUGGCUGAAGUCGGACGCUUAACCGACUGCGCCACCCAGGCGCCCCAUCUUCUUUAAAUCUUCCUAUCCAUGAACAUGGGAUCUCUCUCCAUUUAUUUAGUUCUUCUUUUAUUUCAUUCAUCAAAGGUUAUAGUUUUUCUCAUCUAUAUCUUGUACAUAUUUUGUUAAACGUAUGCCUAAAUAUUUCAUUUUGGGGGGUGCUAAUAUAAAUGAUGUUGAAUUUUUAAUUUCAAAUUCCAUUUGUUCAUUGCUAGUAUAUAGGAAAGUGAUUGACUUUUGUAUAUUAACCUUGUAUAUCUUGUAACCUUGCUAAAAUUACUAGUUCCAGGAGCUUUUUUGGUCUGCCUUUCAGAUUUUUUUACAUAGAUGGUUAUGACAUCUGCAAAGGAAAACAAUUUUAUUUCUCCCUUCCAAAUCUGUACAUAUUUUAUUUUCUUUCCUUAUUGCAUUAGCUAGAAUUUCCUGUGUGAUGUUGCAAAAGAGUGGUGAGAAGGUGCAUCCUUUCUUUGUACCUCAUCUUAGUGGAAAAGGUUUAAGUUUCUCACCAUUAAGUAUGAUAUGAUAUGAUAUGAUAUGAUAUGAUAUGAUAUGAUAUUAUUAUAUUAUGAUAUUAUAUUAGCUCUAGUUUUUUUCCUUUAUCAAGUUAAGGAAAUUCCUAGUUUACUGAGAGUUUUUAUAAUGAAUGGGUGUUGGAUUUUGUCAAAAGCUUUUUCUGUAUCUAUUGAUAUGAUCAUGUGAUUUUUCUUUUUUAAUCUGUUGAUGUGACAGAUUAUAUUAAUCGAUUUUUGAGUGUUAAACCAGUCUUGCAUACUUGAGAGAGACCCCACUUGGUCAUUGUAUAUAAUUCUCUUUGUGCAUUGCUGGAUUCAAUUUGCUAAUAUUUUAUUGAGAAUUUUUGCAUCAAUUUUCAUGAGAGAUUUUGAUCUGUAGUUUUCUUUUCUUAUAAUAUCUUUACCUGGUUUUGAUAUAAGAGUAAUGCUGGCCUCGUAUAAUGAGUUAGGAAGUAUUUCUUCUGCUUCUAUCUUCUGAAACAGAUUGUAGAGAAUUGGUAUAAUUUCAUCCUUAAAUGUUUGGUAGAAUUUACCAGGGAAUCCAUCUGCGUCUGGUGCUUUCUGUUUUGGAAGGUUAUUAAUUAUUGAUUCAAUUUUUUUAAUGGAUAUAGGCCUAUUCACUUUGCCUAUUUGUUUUUGUGUCAGUUUUGGCAAAUUGGGUCUUUCAAGGAAUUGGUCCAUUUCAUCUAGGUUAUCAAAUGUGUGGGUAUAGAGUUGUUCAUAGUAUUCUUUUAUUAGCCUUUUAAUGUCCAUAGCAUCUGUGCUGAUGUACCCUCUUUCAUUUCUUUUCUUUUCUUUUCUUUUUCUUAUUUUAAAAUCUUUCUUUUUCAGGAGGCUUCAUGCCCAGUGGAAAACCCAAUGUGGAGCUUGAACUCAAGAUCCUGAGAUUAAGACCUGAGCUGAGAUUAAGAGUUGGAUGCUUAACCAGCUGACCCACCCAGCUGCCCCUCCCUUCGUUUGCUUCAGAUAUUAGUAAUCUGUGUCUUCGGUAUUCUUUUCAUAGUUAACCUGGCUAGAGGCGUACUGACUUACUGAUCUUUUCAAAUAACCAGUUUUGGCUUAAUUGACUUUGUGUAUUGAUUUCUUGUUUUCAUUUUCAUAGAUUUCUGCUCUAAUUUUUAUUAUUUAUUUUCCUCUGCUUACUUUGUAUUUAAUUUACUCAUCUUUUUCUAGUUUCAUAAGGUGGAUGCUUAAAUUACUAUUUUUUAAUUUUCUUCCUUCUAAUAUACACAUUCAAUAAAUUUCCAUUUAUGCACUACAUUCACUAUACCUCAUAAAUUUCAUGAGCUGGUUUUCAUUUUUAUUUAACCCAAAAUAGUAUCAAAUUAUUCUUGAGAUUUCUUCUUUGACCCAUGUCUUAUUUACAAGUGUAUUAUUUAAUCUUCAUGUAUUUUGAAAUUUUCC